RNAcentral lists this ribosomal RNA (600 nucleotides) under Triticum aestivum (bread wheat). RNAcentral's name for it is "partial small subunit ribosomal RNA". Lineage: Eukaryota; Viridiplantae; Streptophyta; Magnoliopsida; Poales; Poaceae. The record is from RNAcentral.
AUGCGUUUUGUGCGGCGCAUCCAGGAGUCUGAGGUGAAGGAGGCUUUAAAAAGGAUGAAAGGAGGCAAGGCGAUGGGCCCUGAUUGUAUCCCCAUUGAGGUGUGGAAAGGUCUCGGGGACAUAGCGAUAGUAUGGCUAACCAAGCUUUUCAACCUCAUUUUUCGGGCAAACAAGAUGCCAGAAGAAUGGAGACGGAGUAUAUUAGUACCAAUCUUCAAGAACAAGGGGGAUGUUCAGAGUUGUACUAAUUACCGUGGAAUUAAGCCGAUGAGCCAUACAAUGAAGCUAUGGGAGAGAGUCAUUGAGCACCGCUUAAGAAAAAUGACAAGCGUGACCAAAAAUCAGUUUGGUUUCAUGCCUGGGAGGUCGACCAUGGAAGCCAUUUUCUUGUUACGACAACUUAUGGAGAGAUAUAGGGAGCAUAAGAAGGACUUGCAUAUGGUGUUCAUUGACUUGGAGAAGGCCUAUGAUAAGAUACCGCGGAAUGUCAUGUGGUGGGCCUUGGAGAAACACAAAGUCCCAGCAAACAUGUACAAUAAUGUUGUGACAAGUGUUCGAACAAGUGAUGUCGACACCGAUGACUUCCCGAUUAAGAUAUGA